AUGAGAGCGCUCAGGGUUUUCCUCAUGCUCGCCACCUUGCCUUGGAUCGCCCUCUCGGUCGGCGAGCGCCGGAGCGUCAUGUGGCGCGGCGACUCCUUCGCCGUGGAGGACGCCGCCUCGCACGCCCUGGUGUCCCCGGGCGGCAACUUCUCGUGCGGCUUCCGCAAGGUGGCCACCAACGCCUACACGCUCGCCAUCUGGUUCACGGCCUCGGCCGACGCCACCGUGGCCUGGGCGGCCAACCGCGACGCGCCCGUCAACGGCCGGGGCUCCCGCGCCGAGCUCCGGCACGACGGCUCCCUCGUGCUGCGGGACUUCGACGGCCGCGUCGCGUGGAGCACCAACACCAGCGACGCCGGGGCGGACCGCGCGGAGCUGCUCGACUCCGGCAACCUCGUCGUGUCCGACGCGUCCGGGCGCGCGCUCUGGCAGAGCUUCGACUGGCCCACCGACACGCUCCUCCCCGGCCAGCCCAUCACGCGGUACCGCCGCCUCGUGUCGGCGUCGGCGAGGGGCCUGCCCUACUCCGGCUUCUACAACUUCUACUUCGACAGCAACAACAUCCUCAACCUCAUGUACGACGGCCCGGAGAUCAGCAGCAACUACUGGCCGAAUCCGUUCAACAAGUGGUGGGACAACAACCGGACGGCGUACAACAGCAGCCGCUACGGCAGCCUCAACGCGCGCGGCCGCUUCUUCGCCAGCGACAACCUCAAGUUCAACGCCUCCGACCUCGGCGACGCCGGCGUCAUGCGCCGCCUCACGCUCGACUACGACGGCAACCUCCGCCAGUACAGCCUCGACGUCUCUGCAGGGACGUGGCGGGUCACGUGGGCGGCAAUGUCGCGCCAGUGCGACGUGCACGGCAUUUGCGGCCGCUACGGGUUGUGCACGUACGGGCUGGGCGGGGCGCCGGUGUGCUCGUGCCCGGAGGGGUUCGUCGGCGCCAACGCCAGCGACUGGAGCAAGGGCUGCCGGCGCGAGUUCGACGUCCGGUGCGGCGAGGACGUGUACUUCGCGCCCAUGCCGGCCGCCGACUACUGGGGCUUCGACUUCAACUACACCGAGGCGCUCACCUUCGACACGUGCCGCCAGAUCUGCCUCGACGACUGCAACUGCGAGGCGUUCGGCUACAAGCAGGGCUCCGGCAAGUGCUACCCCAAGAUCGCGCUCUGGAACGGCCGCCUCCCGGACAGCAAGCAGGUCAUCUACCUCAAGGUGCCCCGCCGCGUCCAGAACCUCGACCCCUCCGUGCUGCGCCUCGGCGGCCACAGGUGCACCGUGCGCGAGGUGAACGCCAACAGCAGCGCCUCCUACCUGCUGGCCGCCGGCAGCAAGCUCAAUUUCGUCUACUUCUACUCCUUCCUGGCCGGGCUGUUCGUCAUGGAGGCCAUCUUCAUCGCCGUCGGGUACCUGUUCGUGUUCCGGGCCGACCCGGCGGCGCGGCGGAUCCGCGACGAAGGGUACAGCCUGGUGCUCAACCACUUCAGGCGGUUCACGUACGACGAGCUGUCGGCCGCGACCUCCGAGUUCAGCGAGGAGGUCGGGAGGAGCGCGUCGGGGGCCGUGUACAAGGGCGUCCUGGACGACGGCCGGAGCGUCGCCGUGACGCGGCUGGAGGAGGUGACGCAGGCGGACGAGGUGUUCCGGUCGGACCUCAGCGUGAUCGGCCGGAUCAACCACAUGAACCUGGUGAGGAUCUUCGGCUUCUGCUCCGAGCACUCGCACCGGCUCCUCGUCUCGGAGCAAGUGGAGAAGGGCUCGCUCGACAAGGCCCUCUUCGCCGACGGCGAGGACGGCGCCGCCGCGCUGGGGUGGCACGCGAGGUACGGGGUGGCCGUGGGCGUGGCCAAGGGCCUGGCGUACCUGCACCACGAGUGCCUGGAGUGGAUCGUGCACUGCGACGUGAAGCCGGAGAACAUCCUGCUGGGCGCGGACCUGGAGCCCAAGAUCAACGACUUCGGGCUGGUGAAGCUGCUGAGCCGGCGGGACGAGCGCGGGCGGGUGCUGUCCCGGGUGCAGGGCACCAGGGGGUACAUCGCGCCGGAGUGGGCGCUGAACCUGCCCAUCACCGGCAAGGCCGACGUGUUCAGCUUCGGCGUGGUGCUCCUGGAGCUGCUCCGCGGGCAGCGGGUGUGCGACUGGGAGGUGGACGGAGGGGGAGGGGAGGCGCUGCGCAUGGACUUCCCGCGGCUCGUCGCGCUGCUGCGGGAGGAGACGAGGGACCUGCAGGAGGCGUGGCUGGAGGAGUUCGUCGACGCGCGGCUGCGCGGCGACUUCAGCCACCCGCAGGCGGCCGCGAUGCUGGAGGUGGCGGUGUCGUGCGUGGACGACGACCCCGGCAGGAGGCCCAGCAUGAACGCCGUCGUGCAGAUGCUCCUCUCGUCGCAGGACGUGGUGCCGCCGUCGCUCCGCCACGCGUCGUCUCCGGUCCCGGAGAUCAGCCACAUGGUCUGA
Molecule: ribosomal RNA, 2457 nt
Filed under: Triticum aestivum (bread wheat)
Lineage: Eukaryota; Viridiplantae; Streptophyta; Magnoliopsida; Poales; Poaceae
Description: partial small subunit ribosomal RNA
Source: RNAcentral